AUUGAACGCUGGCGGCAGGCCUAACACAUGCAAGUCGAGCGGAUGAAGGGAGCUUGCUCCUGGAUUCAGCUGCGGACGGGUGAGUAAUGCCUAGGAAUCUGCCUUGUAGUUGGGGAUAACGUCCGGAAACGGGCGCUAAUACCGCAUACGUCCUGAUGUAGAAAGGGGGGGAUCUUCGGACCUCACGCUAUCAGAUGAGCCUAGGUCGGAUUAGCUAGUUGGUGGGGUAAAGGCGUACCAAGGCGACGAUCCGUAACUGGUCUGAGAGGAUGAUCAGUCACACUGGAACUGAGACACGGUCCAGACUCCUACGGGAGGCAGCAGUGGGGAAUUUUGGACAAUGGGCGAAAGCCUGAUCCAGCAAUGCCGCGUGUGUGAAGAAGGUCUUCGGAUUGUAAAGCACUUUAAGUUGGGAGGAAGGGCAGUAAGUUAAUACCUUGCUGUUUUGACGUUACCAACAGAAUAAGCACCGGCUAACUUCGUG
RNAcentral lists this ribosomal RNA (484 nucleotides) under uncultured bacterium. RNAcentral describes it as "partial 16S ribosomal RNA". It matches the Rfam family "Bacterial small subunit ribosomal RNA", at positions 30 to 507 of the family's 1533-position model. The record is from RNAcentral.